RNAcentral lists this ribosomal RNA (245 nucleotides) under uncultured bacterium. RNAcentral describes it as "partial 16S ribosomal RNA". It matches the Rfam family "Bacterial small subunit ribosomal RNA", at positions 528 to 772 of the family's 1533-position model. The record is from RNAcentral.
UAGGGGGCAAGCGUUAUCCGGAUUUACUGGGUGUAAAGGGAGCGUAGACGGCAGCGCAAGUCUGAAGUGAAAGCCCGUGGCUCAACCGCGGAACUGCUUUGGAAACUGCGCGGCUGGAGUGCUGGAGAGGUAAGCGGAAUUCCUGGUGUAGCGGUGAAAUGCGUAGAGAUCAGGAGGAACACCGGUGGCGAAGGCGGCUUACUGGACAGUCACUGACGUUGAGGCUCGAAAGCGUGGGGAGCAAA